UUAAUAUUAGUUAUGAAAUAUAUUUCAAGAAAUUUUAUAUCUAGUUUUUUAAGAGUUUAAGUUUAAUGAAUAAUUUUUAUAAAAAUUAAUAUGGUUUAGCUUAUUAAUUUUAUAUAUUGUAAUAAUUUUAUAACUUUAGUAAAUUUGAUAGUGUUUAUUUUAUAAAUUUAUAAUGGAGGGUAAUAUGAAUAUAAAUUUUUAUUUAUUAUUGAUUUAUUAAAAAAUUUAUUAAAAUUUUAAAGUUUUAUUUAUAAUGAAAAAAUUAGUAAAAAUUUAUUUAUAUUUUAAAAUAUUUAAUAAUAUAUAUAAUGUUAUAAUUAUUAUAAAAAAUGAAUUCGGCAAAAAUUAUUAUUUGACUGUUUAGCAAAAACAUUGUUUCAUGAAAAAAAAUAUGAAAUAAUGUCUGUCCACUGAUAUAUUUGAAGGACUGCAGUAUAUUGACUGUAUAAAAGUAGCAUAAUCAUUAGCUUUUUAAUUUGGGGUUGGUAUGAAGGCGAAACGGAUAAGUUCUUUAUUUUUUAUAAAUAUUUAAAUUUUAUUUUUAAGUGAAAAAUCUUAAUUAUUUGAGAGGGACAAGAAGACCCUAAUAAGUUUUAUUUUUCUUUUAUUUAUGUUAUAGGAAAUAAAAAUUAGAUAAUAUUAAAUUAGAAAUUUGAUUGGGGCGAUUAGUUAUAAAACAUAAUUAAAUUUUAAUUUUU
Molecule: ribosomal RNA, 698 nt
Filed under: Pseudopolydesmus erasus
Lineage: Eukaryota; Metazoa; Arthropoda; Diplopoda; Polydesmida; Polydesmidae
Description: partial large subunit ribosomal RNA
Source: RNAcentral